Long non-coding RNA from Bufo bufo (common toad), 164 nucleotides. RefSeq lists it as uncharacterized. The record is from RefSeq and is a predicted model, not a curated record. Lineage: Eukaryota; Metazoa; Chordata; Amphibia; Anura; Bufonidae. The transcript is spliced from 4 exons.
UACUUUGCUAAGUCUCGCAAGACUUCGGGUAAUAACUUCAGAAAUGAAUUUCUACUGUAAAAAAACUUUUACCAAACUCGGGUUCAGUUCCAAGGUACAACUUGGAACCGAAACCGAGUUCGGUAAAGUUUUUUUUUUUUUACAGGGGACUUUUUAGAAUAGGC